ACGGCGUUAGCGGCAGUGAGGCGGCGCGCGCGGAACCUCGAGCAGAUCAGGACUCAACCAUCUCACUGAAACAGAGGGGCAGAGACGAACUGAGAGAAGCAGGGAAAGAGAGAGAGAGAGGGGAAACCAUGGGCUUGCCUAUUGAAGCUCAUCCAUUUACUACUCACCUGCUGCAGCUUUCUGACGAGAACUGUACACUCCAGCAGCACUGCUGUGUCUUAUCCACUCAUACCAGCACAACACACACUAACACACCACCACCAUGUCAGUGUCACUGCAGUGCUGAGAAUGACCCACCAACCAAAUAAUACCUGCUCUGUAGUGGUCCCUGGAGAAUCCUGACCAUUGAAGAACAGCAUGAAAGGGGGCUAACAAAGCAUGUAGAGAAACAGAUGGACUACACUCACCUGAUAGUGGCAAUUACUAUGGCACACUCUUGCAUCACAGCGGACGCCGCUCAGUUCUCCCUGCAGUCAAUCACUUGGCAAGCUUAUUUAGAGGUAGCUGUCACUGUGCAUCAGACAGAAGGGACAGUGAGUGAGAGAGAAGAAGGAAGUCCGCUGAGUAAAGUAUUCUUUCUUUCGUGCAAUUACACCCACAAAAUAAAACUCUUAAAAUAAAGAAGGAA
Molecule: long non-coding RNA, 628 nt
Organism: Trichomycterus rosablanca
Lineage: Eukaryota; Metazoa; Chordata; Actinopteri; Siluriformes; Trichomycteridae
Exons: 4
Source: RefSeq, a predicted model, not a curated record